Molecule: long non-coding RNA, 846 nt
Filed under: Homo sapiens (human)
Lineage: Eukaryota; Metazoa; Chordata; Mammalia; Primates; Hominidae
Description: HSALNT0258933
Source: RNAcentral
CUGACAUCGCCCAUCCGCGCAGGCUGCAGAGAGAGAUCAGUGGGAGGAGGAGGAGCCGAGAGCCACCACUUAGGCUUCCAACCAAUCCCUACCAGGGUGGGCGGAGCCCACUUCCUGAUUGGCUGCACUCUCUGUGUCUUGGGGUGGGCGAGAACGGCGGGGCCACGCCCCCUAACUAGGCAGCCAAUCAGGACGUGGGGUGCUGGUUUCUCCAUUGCGAAGCUUCAGCCUUUGAUGGUUUGGGUCCUGGGAGUCUGGUUAGUACAAGGGGAAGCCUAGUGGGUCUGGCGCUCCGUUUUCAAGACACUCGGAGUCCGUCUUUGAGGGGAAAGGUCAUGGCCCUGAAACCACCUUCUGCCACCCAGCCUGCUCCCAACGCGCCAGCUACCCCAGACGCCCCCCCUACCACAGGUGAUCCAGGUGCUUCAGCUGCGACUAUGAAGGCCAACCAGAACAGUGAAUGGGAAGAGGCUUACAUCAACUCAGGCCGAACUGGUUGGUUCGGUGCAUUCGUGGUAAUGAUUGGCUUAGGCAUCAUUUAUGGCUUGGUCCUAUAUUAAUGAAGUCUAGGCAUAGCAACCCAGGGGUCCGCUCCCCAACCGAGCCACUCACCAAACACUAACCAGCCAAGUCAGCCAUCAGGCAAGAAAUUCAACCGCUGAGACAUCUAGCCAAGAAAUCCUCUAACCAAGGAACUCAACAUUCAAGAAACCCACCAACCCAGGAACACACAGACCACCUGCCUGUGCUACUUCAACUCACUCAGCUCCAGAGCUGUCUUCGUUCACCCUAGGGGUCCACACUUCAUGCCCUAGAUCCCUUUAGCUCCUUGACACUGGGCUGUUC